AUUGAACGCUGGCGGCAGGCCUAACACAUGCAAGUCGAGCGGCAGCGGGAAAGUAGCUUGCUACUUUUGCCGGCGAGCGGCGGACGGGUGAGUAAUGCCUGGGGAUCUGCCCAGUCGAGGGGGAUAACAGUUGGAAACGACUGCUAAUACCGCAUACGCCCUACGGGGGAAAGGAGGGGACCUUCGGGCCUUUCGCGAUUGGAUGAACCCAGGUGGGAUUAGCUAGUUGGUGGGGUAAUGGCUCACCAAGGCGACGAUCCCUAGCUGGUCUGAGAGGAUGAUCAGCCACACUGGAACUGAGACACGGUCCAGACUCCUACGGGAGGCAGCAGUGGGGAAUAUUGCACAAUGGGGGAAACCCUGAUGCAGCCAUGCCGCGUGUGUGAAGAAGGCCUUCGGGUUGUAAAGCACUUUCAGCGAGGAGGAAAGGUUGGCGCCUAAUACGUGUCAACU
RNAcentral lists this ribosomal RNA (453 nucleotides) under Aeromonas sp. AE30. Its description in RNAcentral is "bacterial SSU rRNA". It matches the Rfam family "Bacterial small subunit ribosomal RNA", at positions 30 to 474 of the family's 1533-position model. Lineage: Bacteria; Pseudomonadati; Pseudomonadota; Gammaproteobacteria; Aeromonadales; Aeromonadaceae. The record is from RNAcentral.